AGACACUUCGAUAACAGCAGCAUAAACAGAUCAACGUUCUUCAAGUCCUACUCGUUUAACUCCAAAGUCAGAGUGAUGUAACUGAGUGACAUAAAAAGCACGUGAUAUUGAUGUAACGAGUGGCCCAGAGAAAGAAAAAAGAGUAUUGAAAGAGGGAAUCCAGAAAGAACACUUACUUGAGGACAAAAGAAGAAAUACAGAAAUCAACGAAGCAGAAGAAUUCGUGCACUAUUAGUAGAAGUCACGUCCGCUUCAGUGUCAUUGAUAUCACCCACACGCUGCAAUCAUUGAUCGUGGAUCAUUCGCGCGACUGCCACGACCAGCUGCGACGCAGCGAAAACAGACGGCUGAAUCUACUGUUCGUUACGCACUGGCCAGUUUAUGAAUGCCACUGGAUGCCGUUGAACAUUGUCGAACUUGGCCAACAGACCCGAGGAGAGGGGUCGACGAUCAGGGACAUUCAGUUACUUCACUGCUUAGCAUUGCUUAAACCAGUAAUAACCGAGAAGGCGUUACAGAACUGCGAGGCGUGUAGAUGCGCGAAAAAUUCUGCGAGGACGUGCUGCAAAUUACGUGCCGUAAUUUACAACGAGCGGCCGCGACACUAUCCUGGGAGUUCCCGCGUUUAUCUGUGAUGGCAUAACUGCGCGAAAUAAACGUAUCCUCCAUGAACUGAACGCAUCUCUCGAGCAUAAAUCUCUCGUAACUUUAUGAUUCCAUAAUAUAAAAUCUUAAUAGCACAGUCGUCAUACGUGUCUAGUAAUACGUGUAUAAUCGAAGGAAUGAUACGAUUAACGGGUGAACUGGGUUAAUGCUAUAAUAUUGAUAGAGAGUGAUGCUUCUAAGUAUACAGGACAGAAAGAGCAAACCGGUUAUGAUCUGUAUCUCUAUCUAAUAAUGACAGGUUCAUAAAUAAUAACUUUUUAAUCAUAUUAUGUCUACUGCAAAUAGCUUCCAACAAGUAGCAGUGAAAGUAACACACUCGCCUAUCUUUUAUUACUUAUAAAUUUUAAUAGGCAAUGAUAACAAUCGAGUUGCCUUUUGGCAGUCUGAGAAAAUUUAUUUUCUAAUAAAAGAACUCUUAUUGGACAAGAUGGAUAGGUUCUGAAAUUUACAAAAAAAGUCAGACAAAUUUUCGACCAUGAGUGUACAUAUCCGCAAGCAAGAAAAAGGCAGAGAACUCGGAGAAAAUGCUCUAAGGGAUUUUUCUCGAAAUUUUUCUUCUAUGUUCUAUGAUAAUUCCUUCAAGAAUAUUAUAGCUUAGGCUUUAUUGUUACGUCUCGGCAAAGUACAUUUUUUUUAAUCGUCUUAUUGUCAACAAAUAUAAGCGAUAACGCAACUCCAUAAGAAACGAAACCCAAAUACACUGGCCAAAAGCGGCAUAUUAUGAAAACAUAUAUGCCAAAGAUGACGAGAUGACACCAUGUUUAAAAAUCAGACGCUUGGCAAUCGGCACGUAACUUAAUAUCUACAAGUAGUUUGAUCGUCGACGAUUAGAUACUCGAAACGACAAAAAUAUUCAUUCUUCUGGCAUAUCACACUACUUGAUCACACACGAUCACUAUGUUUUAAUAAAAUGUUAAUAAAAAUAGUUUAUCAUGCCACUACAAGAUGAGUCAUCACGUAAAAACAAUUUUAAAUUCAAGUAGAAUAUAUGGACAGUGUUUUAAUCAAAUACUGUCCGAUCACGCGAAUAGAAAAGAAAAAACGUGCAAUUAUUUAAUGAUAUCAAAUUCAGAUAGAUCAAACCUAAACUUUGAAUACUAUAAAACAAUGGAAAAUUGCAAAUAUAAGAUGACGGAUCUUCGUGAAGAAAUAAUAAUAAAGCAUAAAGUGAGGACGACGGAAUAUUAGCCAGUUAUCUUACGUUUGCACGCCGGAAAAUAAAGGAGAAAUAUGAAUCAUCGUCAUUAAAUAAUCAACCAUGCAACACCGGAAGGCUUUAAAUUUGAUAUAAUGCUAAUAGAGGAAACCACAAGAAAUGAACAGGAAUGGGAUGUCGUUGUUUUUACGAAAUUCACAUAAAAUUAUUAAUAGUCGUUUUCGAAAAUUGCAUUGAUCAGAUAAAGGAGAAUUAUCAUAAUUUUGACAUAAUAACAACUUAAGGUAAGCAUUAGGUUAAUGAGAGAAUUUAUUUCCUUCUCUCUAGUAUAAAGUUUGAUCACGGAAUGCAAAAAGUAUUCAGAUAAAAAUUUUAAUUUCUUUUUAUUAUUUGUUUUAUUUUUAAUUAAUUUCAACGCCUCACUCUUUGACGUAAUUCCUCAUUUAUUCGUAAGCUAAUAUCAAAUGUAAUCUAUCUACGUUACGUAGGGAAAAUUAUAACUUGUGACACUCGUGACUCAACUUUUGUAUAAACCCGCACAAGGAAAAGUCAAACACGACAUUCAGAAGACAUGAGCAAUAGAUUCCAUUUCCUCGUUCUAUUAGUUAUGAUGCAAGCGAUACUUCUCCUUUUUUUAUAAAACAGUAACUCGAGAGGAAACAUUUGAAUAGAAAAAUAUUUCACUGAGUUAUCGUGUCUUUUUUCUUGUUUCUAAUGCGUCGCAAUUUCUAAUAAUGCGACACUGCGAGCUUAUUCAGCUCUUAUACGUAAAUUCCUCUUUGAAACACAGAUGUAAAAACCAGACGUCUCGUUUCCACAAAUCAAAAUAAUCGAAAGAUUACGAACGUACAAGAUAUAACUGCAUGAGUCACUUAUCAUGGAAAAUAUUUAAUCAAUUUAGAGAACAUGACACUAUACUACUCUUUUACUCUUCAAAAUCUUGAGACUUGUAUUAAAUAUUAAGUGAAUAUAAAAUGACUUCAAUUAAUAAAACUGAUAAUGUAGAUAAGCAUUGGUCUUAUCAUUUAAUUAUUACGUCAAAUAUACAGAUUUCGCGAUAAUCGCGCAUCAGAUUACGAAUCUUUGAUAUCUUAAAAAGUGCAUCAUACAUCGAAUAUCUGUAAUUAUAUAUUAUUAAGUAGAUUAGAUCUAAUCUACGCUAAGAUGGAAACGUGUCAUCUAGCAUGCGAGAUUAUUUUUGUCCGAUUCAAUCAAUCAGUCGAAGUAUCAGUCGUCAUU
Long non-coding RNA from Odontomachus brunneus, 3061 nucleotides. RefSeq lists it as uncharacterized. The record is from RefSeq and is a predicted model, not a curated record. NCBI's taxonomy places the organism in Eukaryota, Metazoa, Arthropoda, Insecta, Hymenoptera, Formicidae. The transcript has 3 exons.